RNAcentral lists this long non-coding RNA (2814 nucleotides) under Sus scrofa (pig). RNAcentral's name for it is "lncRNA (ENSSSCG00065050268.1)". Lineage: Eukaryota; Metazoa; Chordata; Mammalia; Artiodactyla; Suidae. The record is from RNAcentral.
AUGUCAGGCAUCCACGCCCGCUUCUGUAAAGACUUUCGGCUCCACAAGAGAACGGGAAGUCACUGUGAAGAAAGAGGCAGGCGAUGUAACCGGAAAAGCGCGGGUUUGAUGUCAAACAGACCUGCGUGGUUCCACCGCUUUCCGACUGUGUGACACCUCCCUCCCCCACCCCCGGCCCAGUUGCUCUCUGAACCUAAGUCUUGGAAAAUGGAACCAAUAAUACCUGUUCUUCAAGACUGUUCCUGCUGGAAGCUCCAAGAUUCAUCUGAAGGCGUGAUCACAUCCUCAAUGUUGAGUGGACUAUGAACCGGCUGCCAGAGACAGGGUUCCAAGCCGGGCCAGGCCCAUCCCAAUGCCCACCCGAAAAGACGGGACAGAGGAAAGAAAGAAACAAAAUCCUGGGGCUCCAUUGGCUUUCUUUUUGACUCCAGCUGAAGUUGCUGCAUAGUGUGGCCUUGCCAGUCCUCGCCUUGAAAAGGCUGGAAGCGACUGACGUGAUGGAUCAUCUAAUCCCACAGCCUCAUUUUGCAGAGGACCCCGAGCCUCGACUUGGCCAAGGUCACACAGCUGGGCCACACCCAUGGCGUAUGGUUUUCAUAUGGAAUUGGAGCUGCAGUUGCCGGCCUGUGCCACAGCCACAGCAAGUUCAGGAUCACAAGGCUCCGAGAGGUUAAUUUAUCCACUCCAGGUCACCCAUAUCAUGGAUGGGAGAAGAGGAGGGACCGAAGCUCUCCUGGCACCGUGCCCAGUUCUUUCCAGCCCUUUCUGUCACGUAUGCAGUGCUCUGCAUGAGCCAACGUGGAUCGCACAGCAUGUGAAGCAGCCUUCCCGGAGAACUCGGAAACCGGUCCAGCUUGGAGGAAUCUCAUUAGCACUUUUCAAAGCUUUACCCCGACUGCAUUUUAAGUUGUAUAAUUUUUCUGGAUCUGGAUCUCGAAUGAAUGCUGGUUAUUGGCAAGCACUGCAUCUCAUUCGGGGAAAGCGUUCCUCAUCACAUGAUUCAAACUGUAUCCAAAGACUAGAGAAGAGGAAACACAAAAACGCUUCAAAUGAAAGGCAUUUAGAGAGUCUCCUGCUACUUGACUUAUAAAAAUAAUGGCAAUGAUUCAUAAAGGUCGCUGUCUAAUUCCUUCAAGACCCAAGAAUUCAUGCAUCUGGACCUCCUGGUUGUUCUCUGUUCAGUUUCUCCACGAAGCCCCUUGCCUCUGUUUUGCCACAGCUAAAAUAAAUUACCAGGCUUCUCUUGUCCAUAUACAUGACAAUUUGAGGCUUUAAAACAAUGUACAUUAAAAAAAAAAAAAAAGGAUUUCGGCAGCUUGGAAAUUUGCAAUGUUAGUAAUGCUUGGUACUUUUUAUCUUGAUAUAUAUAUUUUAAUCACAUCUACACUGUUGGCUGGGGUCAAGUCAUUCUGCAUUUUUUGCUGGGUUAUUUGCUUUUCUCAGCCUUCCUAGAUUUAGAAAGCUUAAUUUUAUUCCUUUCUCCAUUUUGUUAGGCUCAUAGUCACUCUUAAAAGAAUCAAAAUCUCACCCAGAAACAACUUGCUGGCCAUUUCCUAGAAUUUAUGGUUGUAGGGAGUACACUGAUUUAAUAAAAUAGAAGUUUUUUUUUUUUUGCUUUUUUAUAAGGGCCACACCCGCAGCAUAUGGAAGUUCCCAGGCUAGGGGUUGAAUCAGAGCUGCGGCUGCCAGCCUAGGCCAUAGUCACAGCAAUGUGGGAUCCAAGCCGUGUCUUCGACCUGCACCACAGCUCACGGCAACGCUGGAUCCUUAACCCACUGAGCUAGGCCAGGGAUGGAACCUGAGUCCUCAGGGAUACUAACUGGAUUCGUUUCCACUGCGCCAAGAUAGGAACUCCCAGAAGUUCCUUUUUGAAAGUGUUUUUCCCAUUGGCCAUUUCUGUUCUGAUCUUCCAUGUAUGUGUAUUUAUAUAUUUCAUUACUUUUUUGUUCUUAUUUUUUUCUUAAACCAUAGCAUGAGCCCGGGUAGACCUGGGUUUGAAUCCCCAGCUCCUUUUACAUUUUGUGCAUUUUCAAGGUUCUAGAAGGACAGAUGCCUCUAGGAAGAAGUUUCUCAUGCCCUUCCCAUGGUUUAGGGUGGCAGGCAUUCCUUCCACAUGUUCUGGAAUAAUCCCUCACAUAUGGCUAUGUUGGGGAGUGGCGAGGGAAAGUCAGGGUCAAGAUAAACAUGAGGAAGGAGUGGGAGGAUUUGGAAAAGAUUAUUUCUCUCAAGAGCACGUAAUCAUGCUAUACAAAGAAACUAAUGAGCAGGAUUUGGAGAUGCCUGAAGUCCAAGACAUAGUUAGAGCUUAAAGUUAAAAGCCUUGAUUUUCUAGACUAAAAUUCCCCAAGUCUUAAAGACUUAAGCAGUUGAAAGACCCUAAACCAUUCAUAGUUCACUUAUCUUCAGCUGUAACUUAGGAAUUAACACCUGUCCCGGAAACACACAAAGCAGUCUUUUCUGGAAGAUGAGCUGCUGAGAAAUUUUCCUGCCACGGUAGACACGAACUACUGUUUUCGUUCAUACAGUGCCUUUGAACACCCUUUAUCUAUCGGGAAAAUUCCACUCUGUAAAACCCAUUCCUCUUAAGAUAGAAACCAGAAAUCUGGAAGUUCCCGGGGUGGCGCAGGGAAGGGGACACGAGUUUGAUCCCUCAGUGGGUUAAAGAUCUGGCAUUGCCAUUAGCUGUGGUGUAGGUUGCAGAUGUGGCUUGGGUCCGCUCCUGAUUCGACCCCCUAGCCUGGGAACUUCCAUAUGCCAUGGGUACCAUCCUAAAAAGACCCCUGCCCCUCCAAAAAAAAUAAAAGAAAAAAAAAA